RNAcentral lists this ribosomal RNA (465 nucleotides) under Vreelandella stevensii. Its description in RNAcentral is "partial 16S ribosomal RNA". It matches the Rfam family "Bacterial small subunit ribosomal RNA", at positions 338 to 795 of the family's 1533-position model. Lineage: Bacteria; Pseudomonadati; Pseudomonadota; Gammaproteobacteria; Oceanospirillales; Halomonadaceae. The record is from RNAcentral.
CCUACGGGAGGCUGUAGUGGGGAAUAUUGGACAAUGGGGGGAACCCUGAUCCAGCCAUGCCGCGUGUGUGAAGAAGGCCCUCGGGUUGUAAAGCACUUUCAGUGAGGAAGAACGCCUGGUGGUUAAUACCCAUCAGGAAAGACAUCACUCACAGAAGAAGCACCGGCUAACUCCGUGCCAGCAGCCGCGGUAAUACGGAGGGUGCGAGCGUUAAUCGGAAUUACUGGGCGUAAAGCGCGCGUAGGUGGCUUGAUAAGCCGGUUGUGAAAGCCCCGGGCUCAACCUGGGAACGGCAUCCGGAACUGUCAAGCUAGAGUGCAGGAGAGGAAGGUAGAAUUCCCGGUGUAGCGGUGAAAUGCGUAGAGAUCGGGAGGAAUACCAGUGGCGAAGGCGGCCUUCUGGACUGACACUGACACUGAGGUGCGAAAGCGUGGGUAGCAAACAGGAUUAGAUACCCCUGUAGUC